This 72-nucleotide transfer RNA is filed under the name Heterocephalus glaber (naked mole-rat). It matches the Rfam family "tRNA". Rfam says of the family: Transfer RNA (tRNA) molecules are approximately 80 nucleotides in length. Their secondary structure includes four short double-helical elements and three loops (D, anti-codon, and T loops). Further hydrogen bonds mediate the characteristic L-shaped molecular structure. tRNAs have two regions of fundamental functional importance: the anti-codon, which is responsible for specific mRNA codon recognition, and the 3' end, to which the tRNAs corresponding amino acid is attached (by aminoacyl-tRNA synthetases). tRNAs cope with the degeneracy of the genetic code in two manners: having more than one tRNA (with a specific anti-codon) for a particular amino acid; and 'wobble' base-pairing, i.e. permitting non-standard base-pairing at the 3rd anti-codon position. The record is from Rfam by way of RNAcentral. Lineage: Eukaryota; Metazoa; Chordata; Mammalia; Rodentia; Bathyergidae.
UCGGGGGUAGCUCAGUGGUAAAGUGCCUGCCCAGCAGGAGGGAGGCCCUGGGUUCAAUCCCCAGCACCCAGA